CUUGUCCAGACCCAAUGUUAAUGUCUUAAUACAAAAUUGCAAAAAAAAAUGAGCGUAGGUAUGGGUUGGGCUAAAUUUAGAUCUAUUUUUCGGAAAAAACAUAUAAGCAAUGUACAUUGACAUACAGAAUAUUUCCCAAAAGAUGUUAUUUGAAGGAGUCUAUAAUUUGAUUGUAUCCAAAGAAAAUUCAUUUAUCAG
Gordionus sp. m RMFG-2023 is the source of this 198-nucleotide long non-coding RNA. RefSeq lists it as uncharacterized. NCBI's taxonomy places the organism in Eukaryota, Metazoa, Nematomorpha, Gordioida, Chordodea, Parachordodidae. The transcript is spliced from 3 exons. The record is from RefSeq and is a predicted model, not a curated record.